GACGAACGCUGGCGGCGUGCUUAACACAUGCAAGUCGAACGGAAAGGCCCUGCUUUUGUGGGGUGCUCGAGUGGCGAACGGGUGAGUAACACGUGAGUAACCUGCCCUUGACUUUGGGAUAACUUCAGGAAACUGGGGCUAAUACCGGAUAGGAGCUCCUGCUGCAUGGUGGGGGUUGGAAAGUUUCGGCGGUUGGGGAUGGACUCGCGGCUUAUCAGCUUGUUGGUGGGGUAGUGGCUUACCAAGGCUUUGACGGGUAGCCGGCCUGAGAGGGUGACCGGCCACAUUGGGACUGAGAUACGGCCCAGACUCCUACGGGAGGCAGCAGUGGGGAAUAUUGCACAAUGGGCGGAAGCCUGAUGCAGCAACGCCGCGUGCGGGAUGACGGCCUUCGGGUUGUAAACCGCUUUCGCCUGUGACGAAGCGUGAGUGACGGUAAUGGGUAAAGAAGCACCGGCUAACUACGUGCCAGCAGCCGCGGUGAUACGUAGGGUGCGAGCGUUGUCCGGAUUUAUUGGGCGUAAAGGGCUCGUAGGUGGUUGAUCGCGUCGGAAGUGUAAUCUUGGGGCUUAACCCUGAGCGUGCUUUCGAUACGGGUUGACUUGAGGAAGGUAGGGGAGAAUGGAAUUCCUGGUGGAGCGGUGGAAUGCGCAGAUAUCAGGAGGAACACCAGUGGCGAAGGCGGUUCUCUGGGCCUUUCCUGACGCUGAGGAGCGAAAGCGUGGGGAGCGAACAGGCUUAGAUACCCUGGUAGUCCACGCUGUAAACGGUGGGUACUAGGUGUGGGGUCCAUUCCACGGGUUCCGUGCCGUAGCUAACGCUUUAAGUACCCCGCCUGGGGAGUACGGCCGCAAGGCUAAAACUCAAAGGAAUUGACGGGGCCCCGCACAAGCGGCGGAGCAUGCGGAUUAAUUCGAUGCAACGCGUAGAACCUUACCUGGGUUUGACAUGGAUCGGGAGUGCUCAGAGAUGGGUGUGCCUCUUUUGGGGUCGGUUCACAGGUGGUGCAUGGCUGUCGUCAGCUCGUGUCGUGAGAUGUUGGGUUAAGUCCCGCAACGAGCGCAACCCUUGUUCACUGUUGCCAGCACGUUAUGGUGGGGACUCAGUGGAGACCGCCGGGGUCAACUCGGAGGAAGGUGGGGAUGACGUCAAGUCAUCAUGCCCCUUAUGUCCAGGGCUUCACGCAUGCUACAAUGGCUGGUACAGAGAGUGGCGAGCCUGUGAGGGUGUGCGAAUCUCGGAAAGCCGGUCUCAGUUCGGAUUGGGGUCUGCAACUCGACCUCAUGAAGUCGGAGUCGCUAGUAAUCGCAGAUCAGCAACGCUGCGGUGAAUACGUUCCCGGG
RNAcentral lists this ribosomal RNA (1343 nucleotides) under uncultured bacterium. Its description in RNAcentral is "16S ribosomal RNA". It matches the Rfam family "Bacterial small subunit ribosomal RNA", at positions 28 to 1378 of the family's 1533-position model. The record is from RNAcentral.